Molecule: ribosomal RNA, 119 nt
Filed under: Lepisosteus oculatus (spotted gar)
Lineage: Eukaryota; Metazoa; Chordata; Actinopteri; Semionotiformes; Lepisosteidae
Source: RNAcentral
ACAUUAGUGCCUUGGACCCUGCACUCACGAGAUUCCCUGAGAUCUCAGAAGUUAAGCAAGGCUGGGCCUGGUCAGUGCUGGGAUGGGAGACCCCUCAGGAAAACCAGGUUGUAAGUGGU